This 348-nucleotide long non-coding RNA is filed under the name Capsella rubella. Its description in RNAcentral is "long non-coding RNA (CRUB_LNC003495)". Lineage: Eukaryota; Viridiplantae; Streptophyta; Magnoliopsida; Brassicales; Brassicaceae. The record is from RNAcentral.
CUCUGCCCUGGAGGCCAGCCUUUCCCUCACCGCAGCUUCUCUGAAGAAGUCUCUGUUCUUGAUGGGCAUUUUUCUCAGCUGGGCUUGAACAGCGUAGCCUACUUGAUGGGCAAUGAUGAUGAGACUAAGAAAUGGCACGUCUAUGCUGCCUCCGCCCAGGACUCUAGCAACUGCAACAACAAUGUCUUCACGCUUGAGAUGUGCAUGACGGGUCUAGACAGAGAGAAAGCUUCUGUCUUCUACAAGGAUGAGACUGACAAGACCGGAUCUAUGACCGACAACUCCGGAAUAAGGAAGAUCCUUCCCAAGUCCCAGAUCUGCGACUUUGAAUUCGAGCCAUGUGGCUAC